RNAcentral lists this ribosomal RNA (460 nucleotides) under uncultured bacterium. Its description in RNAcentral is "partial 16S ribosomal RNA". It matches the Rfam family "Bacterial small subunit ribosomal RNA", at positions 338 to 795 of the family's 1533-position model. The record is from RNAcentral.
CCUACGGGGGGCAGCAGUGAGGAAUAUUGGUCAAUGGCCGGAAGGCUGAACCAGCCAUGCUGCGUGAAGGUCAGUGCCCUAUGGGCGUUAAACUUCUUUUGUGCGGGAGCAAUAAUGGUCACGUGUGGCCAGACGAGAGUACCGUACGAAUAAGCAUCGGCUAACUCCGUGCCCGCAGCCGCCGGAAUACGGGGGAUGACAGGGUUAUCCGGAUUUUUUGGGUUUAAAGGGUUCGUAGGCUGGGAGGUAAGUCAGCGGGGAAAUGCCCCCGGUCAACGGGGUGAAGUGCCAUUGAUACUGCCUUGCUGGAUGGCGGAUGCCGUGGGAGGAAUGUGUGGUGUAGCGGUGAAAUGCAUAGAUAUCACACAGAACACCGAUUGCGAAGGCAUCUCACGAAUCCGCGAUUGACGCUGAUGCACGAAAGCGUGGGUAUCAAACAGGAUUAGAUACCCGAGUAGUC